UUCUGACGGGGUGCAGCAGGCGCGAAACCUCCGCAAUGCACGCAAGUGCGACGGGGGAACCCCAAGUGCCACUCUUAACGGGGUGGCUUUUCAGAAGUGUAAAAAGCUUCUGGAAUAAGGGCUGGGCAAGACCGGUGCCAGCCGCCGCGGUAACACCGGCAGCUCAAGUGGUAGCCGCUUUUAUUGGGCCUAAAGCGUCCGUAGCCGGUCUGAUAAGUCUCUGGUGAAAUCCCACAGCUUAACUGUGGGAAUUGCUGGAGAUACUAUCAUGACUCGAGGUCGGGAGAGGCUGGAGGUACUCCCAGGGUAGGGGUGGAAUCCUGUAAUCCUGGGAGGACCACCUGUGGCGAAGGCGUCCAGCUGGAACGAACCUGACGGUGAGGGACGAAAGCCAGGGGCGCGAACCGGAUUAGAUACCCGGGUAGUCCUGGCCGUAAACGAUGUGGACUUGGUGUUGGGAUGGCUUCGAGCUGCCCCAGUGCCGAAGGGAAGCUGUUAAGUCCACCGCCUGGGAAGUACGGCCGCAAGGCUGAAACUUAAAUGU
RNAcentral lists this ribosomal RNA (544 nucleotides) under uncultured Methanothermobacter sp. RNAcentral's name for it is "bacterial SSU rRNA". It matches the Rfam family "Archaeal small subunit ribosomal RNA", at positions 319 to 863 of the family's 1478-position model. Lineage: Archaea; Methanobacteriati; Methanobacteriota; Methanobacteria; Methanobacteriales; Methanobacteriaceae. The record is from RNAcentral.